Molecule: long non-coding RNA, 899 nt
Organism: Temnothorax curvispinosus
Lineage: Eukaryota; Metazoa; Arthropoda; Insecta; Hymenoptera; Formicidae
Exons: 3
Source: RefSeq, a predicted model, not a curated record
CCGUAAGGUAAAUGUCCCCAUGGCCGACCAUGUUCCCUCUACCGACUUUUUUGACGUGAAACGUUGUUUACGAGGCUGCUGAUUCAACAACACGUUCAUUAGUGCAGUGGAAAAAUUCAGGAAUUCGUGCAGUACAAAAUAAUUAUAACGUGCAGAGUCAGACACAGCAAAACGCCUGCAUGUCCCCAGUACCAUACACGUAAACGUCAGUAUCAUCGAAGCUGCGGAAGCCGACGGCUGCGGUGAGGUUAUCCGCUUAGAGGCAGUACUAUGUGGGAUCUCGGUAGUCGCGGCGCCGUGGUGUUGAGUGUGACGUGUGGGUGCGUGCUGAUAUACAACGCCUGCUCGUCAACGACAGUCUGCUGUCGCCGCACGCGUAUCACGUUCUCGGUUACCUGCGGGAGGCGAUUCACGAGCUCGGCGCGGCCCUCCGUGUCGUCCACGUCCACGGUACCGGUUACGUGCGUAAGCUCUGGCACAGUGCGAGCCGUUGUUACCGCGAGCGUUUCCCUUCGUUCAGGAUGGACAGGCGACGCGCGAGCAAUUAUCAGCUCAGCAGCGACUCGUACGCUGCCAAGCGCGGAGAGUCGCCGUCGUUACCGUCAUCGCCAUCGUCGUCGUCGUCGUCGUCCAGGUAAUCGGUAAUGGGGACAUGCCCGGUCAAAAUUGGACACAGCUGGUCGGUAGAGAGGGCACGCACUAGUGCGCCUUUAUUCUUCUCUAUCUAGAAAAAUACUUGACGGAAUGGAUUGAGCCUACGAUUUUUGGAAAGUGCAUGGAUGAAGCUAUCCACCAGUAUGAAACUCUUUAUCGAAUUUAUUUUUGUCACGCUUGACAACGCCAUUCUUUUGUUGGGUCGGCCUUAUAGGUGUCGGCCAUAGGGACAUUUACCUUAAUCC